AUGGCCUCCAGGAGGCUGAUUAUUUUGAACAGAAGAUUCUGGUUCAGAACUCAUGCCAGGUCAGGCACCCCAUUCUUGGUUUGUUUCUUCGGUUUCUUCAGUGAUGUGGACCAGGAGGCCCUGGGGGGUGGCCCUUCCCAGGACAGGGCCCAGGGUGGUGCCCAGGGCCAGGAGGGUGCCCACCUCCAUGGCAGUGCCCCUGCAGAAAAGCCAGAUGAACAAUGUUAAGAGUCAGAGGUUAGUGCCAAUCUUACCUGAGAUCAACUCCCCCUUCUCCCUCCCCCUUCCUCCUCUCCAACCCCAACUCUAGAGGACUCAGGAUUCCUGGGCACUAGCAGGGGGUUGGGGUGGAGGUCUGAGAGUCAAGGACGGCUAGUGACUGCUCCUAGCCCUGAGCCUUUUGCUUUGAUAAAGCCAGAGCACAGAGGGGACACGGGGGUGGGGGGGGCGAAGAACCUAGAUUCAUUGGGUUCCAUUCCUUGAACUGAGAUAUGACUCCCACUCCCUGGACCUAGUUUAUCUUAUCUGCAGCUAAGAAGCAGAAUGAUCUCAUUUUCUCCCUUCCCUCACCCGGGAACCCUUGCAGAGUGACUAGAGGUUUUGCCAGGCUGACUACUUAGAAGUGAAGGAGGAGCUGGGGGAAGCUACAGAUGAACUCACAGGAGGGCAAGGAGGAGAUAGGAGGCAGGGUGACAGGAGAUGCAGGGCCAAGGAGGGGACAGCUGGAGAGCGGGAGGAGACAAAGGUAGGAGGCAGCAAGAUAAGGAUGUGCUUGCUCUCUGUAUAGGUAGCACGUGCAGGUACAAGGGGAUGUGCUGCAUUUACAUACACAUAGCUGUCUGUACCCACGUGCAUGGGUGGGGGCCUAUACAUGGCUGAUGUGCACACAGAUACAUGCAUAUGGGUACACGUGCCUGGCUGUGUACAUGACAAUGGGAGUGUAUGCUCUGGCACCUGAGCAGAGCAGGUGCCAGACUCAAGAAAUGAGGAAGAAUAGAAAGUAAAACCAAGGCUUUAAUUGCCUGGGACAGAAGAGGACUGGAAAGAGUGGUUUGCCCUUCUGUCUUGGCUGGAACCCCUCCUGAGGCCCCAGGACCAGAGGAGUUUCUUUGCCUCUUGCCACAAGCCCAGGGACAGGAAGAGACACCACCGUGCUUAUAGUGAUGGGCACUGAGGGUCUGGGGCCCUGAGGACCAGGGGUGGGGCUAUGGCCCUACUCUAGAGGUUGGCUAACUUCCCAGUCUGCUCCAGCCUCCUAGAACUUGAUAAGGGCUUGCAGUGGGUGGGAAGAGGUGGGCCUCAGGGCUAGG
RNAcentral lists this long non-coding RNA (1310 nucleotides) under Sus scrofa (pig). RNAcentral describes it as "lncRNA (ENSSSCG00035059949.1)". The record is from RNAcentral. Lineage: Eukaryota; Metazoa; Chordata; Mammalia; Artiodactyla; Suidae.